Long non-coding RNA from Coffea arabica (coffee), 358 nucleotides. RefSeq lists it as uncharacterized. NCBI's taxonomy places the organism in Eukaryota, Viridiplantae, Streptophyta, Magnoliopsida, Gentianales, Rubiaceae. The record is from RefSeq and is a predicted model, not a curated record.
GAUAUUGUGCUAUGUUACAUGUAUAUAGAAUGAUUGAUGGAAUGAAGUUGGAAGAAAGUUAGAAAUUUGGAAAAGGAUCUCAAGAGGACUUCGAGGGAACUCCCGGCGAAGCGUCUUAGAGCUAAUUUCUCAAACUUUGACUUUUGAUACUUGGUUUGGAAGUGGAAGUUCUGAGACUUAAUUAGUGACCCCCAAAAAUAAUUUUUUCCCACAAGGCUCGAGGCCAAAGAAAGCGCUUGUAUUGAGUGAUUAGUGCCUGAAGGGAUAUCUCAUAUAUAAUUUGAAUUCGAUUCACUUGAUAAGUAUUUGAUGUAAUUAUUUGAGAACUGAGAACUUUUGUCUUAUUCGGGGAAUGAUA